ACGGAGGAUGCGAGCGUUAUCCGGAUUCAUUGGGUUUAAAGGGUGCGUAGGCGGACUAUUAAGUCAGUGGUGAAAUCCUGCAGCUUAACUGCAGAACUGCCAUUGAUACUGAUAGCCUUGAGUUUGGAUAAGGUAGGCGGAAUGUGUAAUGUAGCAGUGAAAUCCUGUAAUCCUUGGGGGACCACCUGUGGCGAAGGCGGCUCACCAGGACGGCUCCGACAGUGAGGCACGAAAGCUGGGGGAGCAAACCG
This 251-nucleotide ribosomal RNA is filed under the name uncultured prokaryote. RNAcentral's name for it is "partial 16S rRNA". It matches the Rfam family "Bacterial small subunit ribosomal RNA", at positions 525 to 775 of the family's 1533-position model. The record is from RNAcentral.